Molecule: ribosomal RNA, 814 nt
Filed under: Candidozyma auris
Lineage: Eukaryota; Fungi; Ascomycota; Pichiomycetes; Serinales; Metschnikowiaceae
Description: eukaryotic LSU rRNA
Rfam family: Eukaryotic large subunit ribosomal RNA
Source: RNAcentral
GAAAAGAAACCAACAGGGAUUGCCUCAGUAACGGCGAGUGAAGCGGCAAGAGCUCAACUUUGGAAUCGCUCCGGCGAGUUGUAGUCUGGAGGUGGCCACCACGAGGUGUUCUAGCAGCAGGCAAGUCCUUUGGAACAAGGCGCCAGCGAGGGUGACAGCCCCGUACCUGCUUUUGCUAGUGCUUCCUGUGGCCCACCGACGAGUCGAGUUGUUUGGGAAUGCAGCUCUAAGUGGGUGGUAAAUUCCAUCUAAGGCUAAAUAUUGGCGAGAGACCGAUAGCGAACAAGUACAGUGAUGGAAAGAUGAAAAGCACUUUGAAAAGAGAGUGAAACAGUACGUGAAAUUGUUGAAAGGGAAGGGCUUGCACCCAGACACGGUUUCGGCCGGGCCAGCAUCAAGUAGAACGGGGUUAAAAGACCUGGGGAAUGUAGCUACCUCUUGGUAGUGUUAUAGCCCUUGGGUGAUGACCCCUGUUUUGCUUGAGGACAGCGGUCUCUAGGAUGCUGGCGCAAUGGUUGCAAGCCACCCGUCUUGAAACACGGACCAAGGAGUCUAACGUCUAUGCGAGUGUACGGGUGAAAAACCCCUGCGCGGAAUGAAAGUAAGAGGUUGGAACCCUCUCGGGGGUGCACAAUCGACCGACCCAGAAGUGCUCGGACGGGUUUGAGUAGGAGCAUAGCUGUUGGGACCCGAAAGAUGGUGAACUAUACCUGAAUAGGGUGAAGCCAGAGGAAACUCUGGUGGAGGCUCGUAGCGGUUCUGACGUGCAAAUCGAUCGUCGAAUUUGGGUAUAGGGGCGAAAGACUAAUCGAUC